Molecule: unclassified non-coding RNA, 308 nt
Filed under: Hevea brasiliensis (rubber tree)
Lineage: Eukaryota; Viridiplantae; Streptophyta; Magnoliopsida; Malpighiales; Euphorbiaceae
Source: RNAcentral
CGGGCAUUAACCUAUUUUCAACGUGUCCACUUGUGAAUGCUCGUGGCUGAAGCCUUGACCACACAGUAACGCGGAUCCACUUCUCCUUGAGAUAUUCAGUUAAGAGUUAUCGGGCACGAGCUGGAACUUGUAGUAUCUUCGAGGCCUAUGAUCCACAAUGCUUGAACUCGUGAAGUGUAGCCGCUAAGAUGGAGCUACCGGAGAGGGAAAUUUUUUACUGGUAUAGUGUUCAAACAUUGUUGUAUACAUAGACGAGAAUGUUAAUUGCUAAUUGACUUACUAACUUUGCUGGGUAAACAUUUGUUGAG